GAUGAACGCUGGCGGCGUGCCUAAUACAUGCAAGUCGAGCGAACAGACGAGGAGCUUGCUCCUCUGACGUUAGCGGCGGACGGGUGAGUAACACGUGGAUAACCUACCUAUAAGACUGGGAUAACUUCGGGAAACCGGAGCUAAUACCGGAUAAUAUAUUGAACCGCAUGGUUCAAUAGUGAAGUACGGUGUUGCUGUCACUUAUAGAUGGAUCCGCGCCGCAUUAGCUAGUUGGUAAGGUAACGGCUUACCAAGGCAACGAUGCGUAGCCGACCUGAGAGGGUGAUCGGCCACACUGGAACUGAGACACGGUCCAGACUCCUACGGGAGGCAGCAGUAGGGAAUCUUCCGCAAUGGGCGAAAGCCUGACGGAGCAACGCCGCGUGAGUGAUGAAGGUCUUCGGAUCGUAAAACUCUGUUAUUAGGGAAGAACAAAUGUGUAAGUAACUAUGCACGUCUUGACGGUACCUAAUCAGAAAGCCACGGCUAACUACGUG
RNAcentral lists this ribosomal RNA (497 nucleotides) under uncultured bacterium. RNAcentral describes it as "partial 16S ribosomal RNA". It matches the Rfam family "Bacterial small subunit ribosomal RNA", at positions 28 to 507 of the family's 1533-position model. The record is from RNAcentral.